Molecule: long non-coding RNA, 120 nt
Organism: Mustela erminea (ermine)
Lineage: Eukaryota; Metazoa; Chordata; Mammalia; Carnivora; Mustelidae
Exons: 3
Source: RefSeq, a predicted model, not a curated record
UAAUGUAUUUGCUUCAUGGAUACAGGUCUGAGAAUCAUCAGGCCUACACAUUUCACAGCACUCACCAUAGCACAUACCAUCCCCAAAGUCCAUAACCCAGCCACCGCAUCCCAACACCCC